AUUGAACGCUGGCGGCAUGCCUUACACAUGCAAGUCGAACGGUAACAGGUUAAGCUGACGAGUGGCGAACGGGUGAGUAAUAUAUCGGAACGUGCCCCGUCGUGUGGGAUAACGUAGCGAAAGCUACGCUAAUACCGCAUACGAUCUACGGAUGAAAGCGGGGGAUCGCAAGACCUCGCGCGAUUGGAGCGGCCGAUAUCAGAUUAGGUAGUUGGUGGGGUAAAGGCCCACCAAGCCAACGAUCUGUAGCUGGUCUGAGAGGACGACCAGCCACACUGGAACUGAGACACGGUCCAGACUCCUACGGGAGACAGCAGUGGGGAAUUUUGGACAAUGGGCGAAAGCCUGAUCCAGCCAUUCCGCGUGCAGGAUGAAGGCCCUCGGGUUGUAAACUGCUUUUGUACAGAACGAAAAGGUUUCUACUAAUACUAGGAGCUCAUGACGGUACUGUAAGAAUAAGCACCGGCUAACUACGUGCCAGCAGCCGCCGUAA
Molecule: ribosomal RNA, 493 nt
Filed under: uncultured bacterium
Lineage: Bacteria
Description: partial 16S ribosomal RNA
Rfam family: Bacterial small subunit ribosomal RNA
Source: RNAcentral